RNAcentral lists this ribosomal RNA (245 nucleotides) under uncultured bacterium. Its description in RNAcentral is "partial small subunit ribosomal RNA". It matches the Rfam family "Bacterial small subunit ribosomal RNA", at positions 26 to 285 of the family's 1533-position model. The record is from RNAcentral.
AGAAUCAACGCUGGCGGCGUGCCUAACACAUGCAAGUCGCACGAGAAAGGGUAGCAAUACCUGAGUAAAGUGGCGCACGGGUGAGUAACACGUGAAUAAUCUACCUCCGAGUGGGGAAUAACUGAGAGAAAUCUUAGCUAAUACCGCAUAACACUUACGAGUCAAAGCAGUAAUGCGCUUGGAGAGGAGUUCGCGGCCGAUUAGUUAGUUGGCGGGGUAAUGGCCCACCAAGACGAUGAUCGGUA